AGAGUUUGAUCAUGGCUCAGGACGAACGCUGGCGGCGUGCUUAACACAUGCAAGUCACGGGGGGUAGCAAUACCAACCGGCGAACGGGUGCGUAACACGUGAGCAACCUACCGAUUUGCGGGGGAUAGCCGGCCCAACGGCCGGGUAAUACCGCAUACGCUCUCCGAGGGACAUCCCUUGGGGAGGAAACCUCCGGGGCAAAUCGAGGGGCUCGCGGCCUAUCAGCUAGUUGGCGAGGUCACGGCUCACCAAGGCGACGACGGGUAGCUGGUCUGAGAGGAUGGCCAGCCACAUUGGGACUGAGAAACGGCCCAGACUCCUACGGGAGGCAGCAGUGGGGAAUCUUGCGCAAUGGGCGAAAGCCUGACGCAGCGACGCCGCGUGGGGGAUGAAGGGUUUCGGCUUGUAAACCCCUGUUGCCCGGGACGAAACGCCUCUUUCGAGAGGUUUGACGGUACCGGGUGAGGAAGCACCGGCUAACUCCGUGCCAGCCGCGGCGGUAAUUC
RNAcentral lists this ribosomal RNA (506 nucleotides) under uncultured bacterium. RNAcentral describes it as "bacterial SSU rRNA". It matches the Rfam family "Bacterial small subunit ribosomal RNA", at positions 8 to 526 of the family's 1533-position model. The record is from RNAcentral.